RNAcentral lists this signal recognition particle RNA (298 nucleotides) under Callithrix jacchus (white-tufted-ear marmoset). RNAcentral describes it as "Metazoan signal recognition particle RNA (ENSCJAG00000084188.1)". It matches the Rfam family "Metazoan signal recognition particle RNA". Rfam says of the family: The signal recognition particle (SRP) is a universally conserved ribonucleoprotein. It is involved in the co-translational targeting of proteins to membranes. The eukaryotic SRP consists of a 300-nucleotide 7S RNA and six proteins: SRPs 72, 68, 54, 19, 14, and 9. The record is from Rfam by way of RNAcentral. Lineage: Eukaryota; Metazoa; Chordata; Mammalia; Primates; Cebidae.
GCCGGGCACAGUGGCACGUGCCUGUAGUCCCAGCUACUCGGGAGGCUGAGCUGGAAGGAUCGCUUGAGCCCAGGAGUUCUGAGCUGUAGUGCUAUGCUGGGACGGUGUCCGCACUAAGUUUGGCAUCAAUAUGGUGACUUCCCGGGAGCGGGGGACCACCCGGUUACCUAAGGAGGGGUGAACCAGCCCAGGUCAGAAACGGAGCAGAUCAAAACUCCCGUGCUGAUCAGUAGUGGGAUCACGCCUGUGAAUAGCCACUGCACUCCAGCCUGGGCAACAUAGUGAGACCCCAUCUCUU